Molecule: ribosomal RNA, 482 nt
Filed under: uncultured bacterium
Lineage: Bacteria
Description: partial 16S ribosomal RNA
Rfam family: Bacterial small subunit ribosomal RNA
Source: RNAcentral
UGAACGCUGGCGGCAUGCUUUACACAUGCAAGUCGAACGGCAGCGCGGGCUUCGGCCUGGCGGCGAGUGGCGAACGGGUGAGUAAUGCAUCGGAACGUGCCCAGUAGUGGGGGAUAGCCCGGCGAAAGCCGGAUUAAUACCGCAUACGACCUGAGGGUGAAAGCGGGGGACCGAAAGGCCUCGCGCUAUUGGAGCGGCCGAUGUCGGAUUAGCUAGUUGGUGGGGUAAAGGCUUACCAAGGCGACGAUCCGUAGCUGGUCUGAGAGGACGACCCGCCACACUGGGACUGAGACACGGCCCAGACUCCUACGGGAGGCAGCAGUGGGGAAUUUUGGACAAUGGGGGCAACCCUGAUCCAGCCAUGCCGCGUGCGGGAAGAAGGCCUUCGGGUUGUAAACCGCUUUUGUUCGGGAAGAAAUCCUCUGGGCUAAUACCCCGGGGGGAUGACGGUACCGGAAGAAUAAGCACCGGCUAACUACGUG